GCAAGCGUUACUNGGAAUCACUGGGCGUAAAGGACGCGUAGGCGGAUUAUCAAGUCUCUUGUGAAAUCUAACGGCUUAACCGUUAAACUGCUUGGGAAACUGAUAAUCUAGAGUAAGGGAGAGGCAGAUGGAAUUCUUGGUGUAGGGGUAAANUCCGUAGAUAUCAAGAAGAAUACCUAUUGCGAAGGCGAUCUGCUGGAACUUAACUGACGCUAAUGCGUGAAAGCGUGGGGAGCAAACAGGAUUAGAUACCCUGGUAGUCCACGCCCUAAACGAUGUAUACCGGUUGUUGCUGUGCUAGUCACGGCAGUAAUCCACCUAACGGAUUAAGUAUACCGCCUGGGGAGUACGGUCGCAAGAUUAAAACUCAAAGGAAUAGACGGGGACCCGCACAAGCGGUGGAGCAUGUGGUUUAAUUCGAAGAUACGCGAAGAACCUUACCCGGACUUGAUAUCUAACAAAUCAUCCAGAGAUGGAAGAGUGUCUGCUUGCAGAAAUGUUAAGACAGGUGCUGCACGGCUGUCGUCAGCUCGUGUCGUGAGAUGUUGGGUUAAGUCCCGCAACGAGCGCAACCCACGUCAUUAGUUGCUAACGGUUCGGCCGAGCACUCUAAUGAGACUGCCUUCGUAAGGAGGAGGAAGGUGUGGACGACGUCAAGUCAUCAUGGCCCUUAUGUCCGGGGCGACACACGUGCUACAAUGGCAUAUACAAUAAGACGCAAUAUCGUAAGAUGGAGCAAAUCUAAAAAAUAUGUCCCAGUUCGGAUUGGAGUCUGCAACUCGACUCCAUGAAGCCGGAAUCGCUAGUAAUCGUAGAUCAGCCAUGCUACGGUGAAUACGUUCCCGGGUCUUGUACUCACCGCCCGUCACACCAUGGGAGUUGAUUUCACUCGAAGCGGGAAUGCGAAAUUCG
This 912-nucleotide ribosomal RNA is filed under the name uncultured bacterium. RNAcentral describes it as "bacterial SSU rRNA". It matches the Rfam family "Bacterial small subunit ribosomal RNA", at positions 534 to 1443 of the family's 1533-position model. The record is from RNAcentral.